This 464-nucleotide ribosomal RNA is filed under the name uncultured bacterium. RNAcentral describes it as "bacterial SSU rRNA". It matches the Rfam family "Bacterial small subunit ribosomal RNA", at positions 35 to 518 of the family's 1533-position model. The record is from RNAcentral.
GCUGGCGGCGUGCUUAACACAUGCAAGCGAACGGAGAUGUAGCAAUAGCAUCUAGUGGCGGACGGGUGAGUAACGCGUGGGCAACUUGCCUCUAACUGGGGGGAUAACGACAGGGAAACUUGUGCUAAUACCGCAUAACAUCACGAGAGGACAUCCUCUUGUGAUCAAAGGAGUAAUCCGGUGAGAGAUGGGCCCGCGUCCGAUUAGCUAGUUGGCGGUGUAAUGGACCACCAAGGCGACGAUCGGUAGCCGAACUGAGAGGUUGAUCGGCCACAUUGGGACUGAGACACGGCCCAGACUCCUACGGGAGGCAGCAGUGGGGAAUAUUGCACAAUGGGGGAAACCCUGAUGCAGCAACGCCGCGUGAAGGAUGAAGGUUUUCGGAUUGUAAACUUCUUUGAUGAGGGACGAAUAAUGACGGUACCUCAAAAACAAGCCACGGCUAACUACGUGCCAGCCGCAGC